AAGUAAAGAGAUAGUACCCAAGGAUCAAGAAUCGGAGUACUCGAAAUUUGACUCCCAAAAUAGUGAGUAACCUUACUAUCGUCUUAAUUAUCUAAAGUAGUUUUUAAUCGUUUUUGUGAUUUGAUAGCAAAAAUGAGUUUAAAUGGUAAAUCUUUAUGUUUUAUAUGCAAAAUGUGAUUAAAUGAAAUGAUUUUAUAAAAUUGUCUUGCAAUUGAAUGAUGGUUUUGAAAAUGGAGUAAUUGGAGACUAAUUGUUGUGUUGUAAAUCAUGGUUUGAAUUGAAUGGCUUAUGAUAAUAUUGGCAUGAAUGGCUGGAUUUGGUAAAUGUGUUGAAAAAGUAUGAACUGUUGAUUUGCCUUGGGAGGCUGUAAAAUAAAAUAAUUGCCAUGUCAUUCUAUUGAAUUUUAUUGAAUUGGUGGGUUAUAAAUUAGUCGCUGCAGUGGACGGGUUCCGUGGACUAGCCUAAUAGAGGGGCACGGUAACCUUAUUAUAUUCAUACCUCAGUAUGAGAGGCACAGUUGGAUAACUCCUGAGGUUAAAACUUUAGAGUUCACUUCACACCAAACCUCCACGUGAGGGUGAACUCAGCCAACGCUAAGGAACGGCUAUGUUUUCAAAAUAAAAACAUGAUUUAUGUGUACAUGACUUUUUAACAGCCUUGGUGGACUUGGUUGGGAUAGCCCCAGGCCAAGGUAUCC
RNAcentral lists this long non-coding RNA (697 nucleotides) under Theobroma cacao (cacao). Its description in RNAcentral is "long non-coding RNA (TCAC_LNC004512)". Lineage: Eukaryota; Viridiplantae; Streptophyta; Magnoliopsida; Malvales; Malvaceae. The record is from RNAcentral.